Molecule: unclassified non-coding RNA, 200 nt
Filed under: soil metagenome
Description: partial contains internal transcribed spacer 2 and large subunit ribosomal RNA
Source: RNAcentral
UUCGAGCGUCAUUAUAACCACUCAAGCCUGGCUUGGUAUUGGGGCUUUCGCGUGUUCGCGGCCCUUAAAAUCAGUGGCGGUGCGUCUGGCUCUAAGCGUAGUAAUUUCUCUCGCUAUAGGGUUCCGGUGGUUACUUGCCCAAAACCCCCCAUUUUUUCUAGGUUGACCUCGGAUCAGGUAGGGAUACCCGCUGAACUUAA